Molecule: non-coding RNA, 45 nt
Organism: Schistosoma rodhaini
Lineage: Eukaryota; Metazoa; Platyhelminthes; Trematoda; Strigeidida; Schistosomatidae
Source: Rfam
AUCCAACUGAUUAGUCCUAAAUAGGAUGAAACGCUUGUCAUGGAU